AAGUCGAGGGACAGCACAGGUAGCAAUACUGGGUGGUAACCGGCAAACGGGUGCGGAACACGUACACAACCUUCCUUUAAGUGGGGGAUAGCCCAGAGAAAUUUGGAUUAAUACCCCGUAAUAUAGUUGAAUGGCAUCAUUUGAUUAUUAUAGCUACGGCGCUUAAUGAUGGGUGUGCGUCUGAUUAGAUAGUUGGCGAGGUAACGGCUCACCAAGUCUACGAUCAGUAGCUGAUGUGAGAGCAUGAUCAGCCACACGGGCACUGAGACACGGGCCCGACUCCUACGGGAGGCAGCAGUAAGGAAUAUUGGUCAAUGGACGCAAGUCUGAACCAGCCAUGCCGCGUGAAGGAUUAAGGUCCUCUGGAUUGUAAACUUCUUUUAUUUGGGACGAAAAAGGGCCUUUCUAGGCCAACUGACGGUACCAGAUGAAUAAGCACCGGCUAACUCCGUGCCAGCAGCCGCGGUAAUACGGAGGGUGCAAGCGUUAUCCGGAUUCACUGGGUUUAAAGGGUGCGUAGGCGGGUAGGUAAGUCAGUGGUGAAAUCCUGGAGCUCAACUCCAGAACUGCCAUUGAUACUAUUUAUCUUGAAUAUUGUGGAGGUAAGCGGAAUAUGUCAUGUAGCGGUGAAAUGCUUAGAUAUGACAUAGAACACCUAUUGCGAAGGCAGCUUACUACGCAUAUAUUGACGCUGAGGCACGAAAGCGUGGGGAUCAAACAGGAUUAGAUACCCUGGUAGUCCACGCCCUAAACUAUGAUUACUCGACAUUUGUGAUACACAAUAAGUGUCUGAGCGAAAGCAUUAAG
This 807-nucleotide ribosomal RNA is filed under the name bacterium SCGC AAA018-G17. RNAcentral describes it as "SSU rRNA". It matches the Rfam family "Bacterial small subunit ribosomal RNA", at positions 59 to 864 of the family's 1533-position model. The record is from RNAcentral.